RNAcentral lists this ribosomal RNA (503 nucleotides) under uncultured bacterium. RNAcentral describes it as "partial 16S ribosomal RNA". It matches the Rfam family "Bacterial small subunit ribosomal RNA", at positions 28 to 523 of the family's 1533-position model. The record is from RNAcentral.
GAUGAACGCUGGCGGCGUGCCUAAUACAUGCAAGUCGAACGAAGAUCUAGCUUGCUAGAUCUUAGUGGCGAACGGGUGAGUAAUACAUAAAUAAUCUGCCCAUAUGACUGGGAUAACUAUUGGAAACGAUAGCUAAUACCGGAUAGGUUGAUCGGAGGCAUCUCUGAUGAAUUAAAGUAGGAUUUCUACACGAAUGGAUGAGUUUAUGGCGCAUUAGUUAGUUGGUGGGGUAACGGCCUACCAAGACGAUGAUGCGUAGCCGACCUGAGAGGGUGACCGGCCACACUGGGACUGAGACACGGCCCAGACUCCUACGGGAGGCAGCAGUAGGGAAUUUUCGGCAAUGGGCGCAAGCCUGACCGAGCAACGCCGCGUGAGUGAUUAAGGCCUUCGGGUUGUAAAGCUCUGUUGUAAGGGAAGAACAUUCAGGAUAGGAAAUGAUCUUGAACUGACGGUACCUUACCAGAAAGCCACGGCCAACUACGUGCCAGCAGCCGCGGUAA